This is an RNA transcript of Helianthus annuus (common sunflower), 1473 nucleotides long. It is a transcript of the gene named methylsterol monooxygenase 1-1, with no coding region annotated. The record is from RefSeq and is a predicted model, not a curated record. Lineage: Eukaryota; Viridiplantae; Streptophyta; Magnoliopsida; Asterales; Asteraceae. The transcript has 6 exons.
AAAACGUAUAAGGAUAACUAUAUGGAUUCAUUUUCCAUUUAUUAUUUUUUCACUAAAAAUCCAUGCCUCUCCUUUUCAACCAUUCCUUUCCUCUACUCCCAUAUUAUAUAUAUAUUUGACAAUCUGAUUGGUUGAACAAACUAAAAUCGUUUCUUGGCAUCACAAGUCACAAAUGUUGCCCUACGUUUCCCUGCAAGAGGCUCAAACCGCCAUUGGCCGACCUCUCACCACUGCCGAAACCUUAUGGUUUAAUUACACGGCCAAUAUGUCCGAUUACAUCAUCUACUGCCACAACAUUCCCAUUAUGUUUCUCCUAGACACUCUUGUACCUGUCUUCUACCUUGUUAUGGAACACAUGUUUCCUACUUACGUUGCACCUUACAAAGUUCAACCCAAGAUUAAGUAUUCGUUAAACGAUCACUUCAAAUGUUACUUGCUUGUAGCGCGAGGGUACCUCCUCGUUGUACCUUCACUGCUCGUCUCUUAUCCUACAGUAAAAAUGAUUGGUAUUCGAACAAGCUUGCCACUACCAUCAUCGACGGAGAUUAUAUUGCAACUGAUUGUCUACUUUGUUAUCGAAGACUACACGAACUAUUGGUUCCAUAGGUUAUUUCAUGUGAAGUGGCUAUAUGAGAACGUUCAUAAGGUUCAUCAUGAAUACACAGCACCUAUUGGGUUUGCAACUCAGCAUGCACACUGGGUGGAAACACUGGUCUUUGGUAUUCCAUCUAUUCUGGGACCUGCACUUGUUCCGGGACAUAUGGUUACAUUCUUGUUGUGGCUUGCCUUGAGGCAGACUGAGGCCAUUGAAAAUCACAGUGGGUAUGACUUUCCAUGGACAUUUAGAAAAUACAUCCCAUUUACUGCUGGUGCUGAUUACCAUGACUAUCAUCAUUACGUAGGAGGCCAAAGCCAAAGCAACUUUGCACCAGUCUUCACUUACUGUGACUACAUAUAUGGUACAGACAAGGUUUGAAUUUCAAACCUGGUUUAUUGAUGGAGAUGCUCUUAGCCUUAACCAAAGAACUGGGCUAUAGGUACCGCAAGAGACUCCUACAGAACAAGCAGUUGAAAGAUGGCUCAAAUGGUGGUUUGUCAUGUGCUUCUACGUCAGAUAUUAAGUCGGAGUAAUGAACCAUCUUCUUCCGUAUGGUAGAUCAGAAAAUUUAUUGGUUAAUUCGCAUGGUGGAUUGCCAAAGGAAGAACGUCUAUUUACUUAUAUAUAUAAUUGAGUGAAUAGAAUAAGUGAAUGUGAUCAUCACAUUACACACAGUGUAUAUCAAUAAUAAUGUGUAUGUACUAUGUCAACCUUAAGCUUCACUCGUCCUGAUAGCCUAGUCUGUGUGCCCGGAUUGUGUGGUUACAAUUUGUGACAAUAUCAGUCAGUGGCGUAUCAAUGAAUUUUCUUAUUAGUAUUAUAAUAUGUGAGAAUAUCAGUUAGUGGUGUAUCAAUAAAUGUUCUUAUUAGUUUUU